AGAAAUCGUUAAGGGCGUAUGGCGGAUGCCUAGGCUUUCAGAGGCGAAGAAGGACGUGGUAAGCUGCGAAAAGCUCGGGGGAUUGGCACACACGAAUUGAUCCCGAGAUGUCCGAAUGGGGCAACCCAAUACAUUGAAGAUGUAUUACCCGCCGUAAGGCGAGGAGCAAACCCGGAGAACUGAAACAUCUAAGUACCCGGAGGAAAAGAAAUCGAAGAGAUUCCGUAAGUAGUGGCGAGCGAAAGCGGAUUAGCCCAAAAGUCUUUAUAUAUUUAGAAGAAUGUUCUGGAAAGAACAGCCAUAGACGGUGAUAGCCCGGUAUUCGAAAGGUAUAUUAAGAUGAUAAAUGAGUAGGGCGGGACACGUGAAAUCCUGUCUGAAUAUGGGGGGACCAUCCUCCAAGGCUAAAUACUCCUGAAAGACCGAUAGUGAACAAGUACUGUGAAGGAAAGGUGAAAAGCACUUCGAAUAGAAGGGUGAAAUAGAACCUGAAACCGUACGCCUACAAGCGGUCGGAGCCCACAAGUUGGGUGACGGCGUGCCUUUUGCAUAAUGAGCCUACGAGUUAAUUUUACUAGCGAGGUUAAGUAAUUAAGUUACGGAGCCGGAGCGAAAGCGAGUCUGAAUAGGGCGCAUAGUUAGUAGGAUUAGACGCGAAACCUUGUGAUACACAAAGUGGAGGACCGAACCGGUUGACGUUGAAAAGUCUUCGGAUGACCUGUGGGUAGGGGUGAAAGGCCAAUCAAACUGGGAGAUAGCUCGUACUCCCCGAAAUGCAUUUAGGUGCAGCGUUGCGACAAGUUUAUUAGAGGUAGAGCUACUGAUUGGAUGCGGGGGAGUCAAAUCCUACCAAUUCCUGACAAACUCCGAAUGCUAAUAAAUGUUUCGCAGCAGUGAGGGCAUGGGUGCUAAGGUCCAUGUCCGAGAGGGAAAGAACCCAGACCAACAGCUAAGGUCCCCAAAUAUAUGCUAAGUUGAAACAACGCGGUUGGACUGCAUUGACAGCUAGGAUGUUGGCUUGGAAGCAGCCAUUCAUUUAAAGAGUGCGUAACAGCUCACUAGUCGAGCGGUCCGGCAUGGAUAAUAAUCGGGCAUAAGCAUAUUACCGAAGCUAUGGAUUUAUAAUUAAUUAUAUCUGGUAGGGGAGCAUUCUAUUUGCGCCGAAGCAGUAUCGUGAGGUAUUGUGGAGCGGAUAGAAAAGAAAAUGUAGGCAUAAGUAACGAUAAAGGGGGCGAGAAACCCCCUCACCGAAAGACUAAGGUUUCCUCAGCCAUGCUAAUCAGCUGAGGGUUAGUCGGGACCUAACGCGAACCCGAAAGGGGUAGUGGAUGGACAAUGGGUUAAUAUUCCCAUACUUGCUCACACUAAAAAGGGGACGGUUCGACGUAGCUAUUGAAGACGGACGGAAGUGUCAAGGCCUAGCCUUCGGGCGAAGCUGUUAUAGUGAAAUCGGAUCCAAGAAAAGCCGAAGUGAAGCAACCCGUACCAAAACCGACACAGGUGGUCGAGGAGAGAAUCCUAAGGUGCUCGAGUGAGUCGUGGCUAAGGAACUAGGCAAAAUAGUCUCGUAACUUCGGAAGAAGAGACGCCAGCAGCAAUGCUGGCCGCAGUGAAGAGGCCCAGGCGACUGUUUAUCAAAAACACAGGACUCUGCUAAAUCGAAAGAUGCUGUAUAGGGUCUGACACCUGCCCGGUGCUGGAAGGUUAAGGAAGGGCGUUAGCGUAAGCGAAGCGUUUGACUGAAGCCCCAGUAAACGGCGGCCGUAACUAUAACGGUCCUAAGGUAGCGAAAUUCCUUGUCGGGUAAGUUCCGACCUGCACGAAUGGUGUAACGAUC
Molecule: ribosomal RNA, 1837 nt
Filed under: Variovorax paradoxus
Lineage: Bacteria; Pseudomonadati; Pseudomonadota; Betaproteobacteria; Burkholderiales; Comamonadaceae
Description: bacterial LSU rRNA
Rfam family: Bacterial large subunit ribosomal RNA
Source: RNAcentral